This 213-nucleotide long non-coding RNA is filed under the name Hordeum vulgare. Its description in RNAcentral is "long non-coding RNA (HVUL_LNC014695)". The record is from RNAcentral. Lineage: Eukaryota; Viridiplantae; Streptophyta; Magnoliopsida; Poales; Poaceae.
CUCCGUGCCGCCGCGCACGUCGCCGGAGAAGCAGCCCCCCAUCCCUGAUUAUCUCUCGGCUCACGCGCGCGCUUGUAUCCGAGUUUACUUGCUGCUGACAGUUGACAAAUCCCGUGCUGGAGCUUCCGCCAGGCAGCACGCAGCAGCAGCGCGUAUUUGUAGGCCGCGUUGCCUGUCUACAGCCAGCAGGAAGGAAGGAGACAGGGAGCUCGG